AGAGUUUGAUCAUGGCUCAGGAUCAACGCUGGCGGCGUGCCUAAUGCAUGCAAGUCGAACGGGGUCAUCUUCGGAUGGCUUACGUGGCGGACGGGUGAGGAACACGUGGGUAACCUGCCCACUGGUGGGGGCUAGCCUUCGGAAACGGAGGGUAAUUCCGCAUGUGCUCGCAUCCCGCGUGGGGGAUGGGAGGAAAGCCGAGAGGCGCCAGUGGAGGGGCCCGCGUCCGAUUAGCUAGUUGGUGGGGUAACGGCUCACCAAGGCGAUGAUCGGUAGCUGGUUUGAGAGGAUGAUCAGCCACACGGGGACUGAGACACGGCCCCGACUCCUACGGGAGGCAGCAGCAAGGAAUUUUCCGCAAUGGGCGAAAGCCUGACGGAGCAACGCCGCGUGCGAGAUGACGCUUUUCGGAGUGUAAACCGCUGUUCGUGGGGACGAAGCACUGACGGUACCCACGGAGGAAGGCCCGGCUAACUACGUGCCAGCAGCCGCGGUAAUACGUAGGGGUCGAGCGUUGUCCGGAGUUACUGGGCGUAAAGCGCGUGCAGGUGGCUCAUUACGCCCGGCGUGAAAGCCCCCGGCUCAACCGGGGAGGGUCGUCGGGGACGGGUGAGCUUGAGGGUCGCAGGGGCUGGUAGAAUUCCCGGUGUAGUGGUGAAAUGCGUAGAGAUCGGGAGGAAUACCCGUGGCGAAGGCGGCCAGCUGGGCGACACCUGACACUGAGACGCGAAGGCGUGGGGAGCGAACGGGAUUAGAUACCCCCGUAGUCC
This 770-nucleotide ribosomal RNA is filed under the name uncultured Sphaerobacter sp. RNAcentral describes it as "bacterial SSU rRNA". It matches the Rfam family "Bacterial small subunit ribosomal RNA", at positions 8 to 796 of the family's 1533-position model. The record is from RNAcentral. Lineage: Bacteria; Pseudomonadati; Thermomicrobiota; Thermomicrobia; Sphaerobacterales; Sphaerobacteraceae.